AACGUAGGUGGCGAGCGUUAUCCGGAAUUACUGGGCGUAAAGCGUGUGCAGGCGGGCAACCAAGUGGUGUAUGAAAUCUCCCGGCUCAACCGGGAAGGGUUAUGCCAGACUGGUUGUCUUGAGUGCGAGAGAGGAAUGUGGAAUUCCGGGUGUAGUGGUGAAAUGCGUAGAGAUCCGGAGGAACCCCAGAGGCGAAGGCGGCAUCCUGGACCGACAUUGACGCUGAUGAGCGAAAGCUAGGGGAGCAAACGGG
Molecule: ribosomal RNA, 253 nt
Filed under: uncultured bacterium
Lineage: Bacteria
Description: partial 16S ribosomal RNA
Rfam family: Bacterial small subunit ribosomal RNA
Source: RNAcentral